RNAcentral lists this ribosomal RNA (485 nucleotides) under uncultured bacterium. RNAcentral describes it as "partial 16S ribosomal RNA". It matches the Rfam family "Bacterial small subunit ribosomal RNA", at positions 28 to 523 of the family's 1533-position model. The record is from RNAcentral.
GAUGAACGCUGGCGGCGUGCUUAACACAUGCAAGUCGAACGGUGAACACGGAGCUUGUUCUGUGGGAUCAGUGGCGAACGGGUGAGUAACACGUGAGCAACCUGCCCCUGACUCUGGGAUAAGCGCUGGAAACGGCGUCUAAUACUGGAUACGAGUAGCGGCCGCAUGGUCAGUUACUGGAAAGAUUUUUUGGUUGGGGAUGGGCUGGCGGCCUAUCAGCUUGUUGGUGAGGUAAUGGCUCACCAAGGCGUCGACGGGUAGCCGGCCUGAGAGGGUGACCGGCCACACUGGGACUGAGACACGGCCCAGACUCCUACGGGAGGCAGCAGUGGGGAAUAUUGCACAAUGGGCGAAAGCCUGAUGCAGCAACGCCGCGUGAGGGAUGACGGCCUUCGGGUUGUAAACCUCUUUUAGCAGGGAAGAAGCGAAAGUGGCGGUACCUGCAGAAAGAGCGCCGGCUAACUACGUGCCAGCCGCCGCCGUAA